GGAUUGGGAGUCUUCUAAGGAAGACGCGGAGUGAAAAGUAGUGCCAAGAAAAGCGAUUCAAGCGUUGAAGAUGUCAUACCCGUACCCGAAACCGACACAGGUGGGCAGGUAGAGAAUACUAAGGGGCGCGAGAUAACUCUCUCUAAGGAACUCGGCAAAAUGACCCCGUAACUUCGGGAGAAGGGGUGCCAUCGAAAGGUGGUUGCAAUAAAGAGGCCCAGGCGACUGUUUACCAAAAACAUAGGUCUCUGCUAACUCGUAAGAGGAUGUAUAGGGGCUGACGCCUGCCCAGUGCCGGAAGGUUAAGGAAGUUGGUCAGUCUUCGGAUAAAGCUAGCGACUGAAGCCCCGGUGAACGGCGGCCGUAACUAUAACGGUCCUAAGGUAGCGAAAUUCCUUGUUGGGUAAGUUCCGACCCGCACGAAAGCGUAACGAUCUGGGCGCUGUCUCGGAGAGAGGCUCGGCGAAAUAGGAUUGUCUGUGAAGAUACGGACUACCUACACUUGGACAGAAAGACCCUAUGAAGCUUUACUAUAGCCUGGAAUUGUGUUCGGGCUUCCCUUGCGCAGAAUAGGUGGGAGGCGUUGAAAGUAGUCUUGUGGGAUUACUGGAGCCAUCGGUGAGAUACCACUCUAGGGAGGCUAGAAUUCUAACUUCAACCCGUAAUCCGGGAGAAGAACAGUUUCAGGUGGGUAGUUUGACUGGGGCGGUCGCCUCCAAAAAGGUAACGGAGGCGCACAAAGGUUCCCUCAGGCUGGAUGGAAAUCAGCCAGAGAGUGUAAAGGCACAAGGGAGCUUGACUGCGAGAGAGACAACUCAAGCAGGUAGGAAACUAGGUCUUAGUGAUCCGACGGUGCUGCGUGGAAAGGCCGUCGCUCAACGGAUAAAAGUUACUCUAGGAUAACAGGCUGAUCUCCCCCAAGAGUUCACAUCGACGGGGAGGUUUGGCACCUCGAUGUCGGCUCAUCGCAACCUGGGGCUGAAGUAGGUCCCAAGGGUUGGGCUGUUCGCCCAUUAAAGCGGUACGUGAGCUGGGUUCAGAACGUCGUGAGACAGUUCGGUCCAUAUCCGGUGUAGGCGCAAGAGCAUUGAGAGGAGUCUUCCUUAGUACGAGAGGACCGUAAGAACGCACCGCUGGUGUACCAGUUAUCGUGCCAACGGUAAACGCUGGGUAGCCAAGUGCGGAGAGGAUAACCGCUGAAAGCAUCUAAGUGGGAAGCCCACCUCAAGAUGAGUGCUCCCAUGGAGUAAUCCAGUAAGGUCACGGGAAGAACACCCGUUAAUAGGCGUUAGGUGGAAGAGCAGCAAUGUUUGUAGCCGAGACGUGCUAAUAGACCGAGGGCUC
RNAcentral lists this ribosomal RNA (1344 nucleotides) under metagenome. Its description in RNAcentral is "bacterial LSU rRNA". It matches the Rfam family "Bacterial large subunit ribosomal RNA", at positions 1563 to 2925 of the family's 2925-position model. The record is from RNAcentral.